Leguminivora glycinivorella is the source of this 299-nucleotide long non-coding RNA. RefSeq lists it as uncharacterized. The transcript is spliced from 3 exons. Lineage: Eukaryota; Metazoa; Arthropoda; Insecta; Lepidoptera; Tortricidae. The record is from RefSeq and is a predicted model, not a curated record.
UUUCUCCCAAGAAUAGGCCGAUAGGCCGCCUUUGAGUGUUUUGGACGAUUUUAUUCCCUUGCUGCCCUUGUUCGGCAGAAAAGCGGGCCGUGACUAACCGGCUUCCGCGGGCGCCGGGCGCGUCUCUGUCCCCUUGGAGUUGACAUUUGCUCACCGUAAACCCCCCGCAGGACAAUUUUCCUCCGACAGGAGGUGUUUGGUAGAGGCGUGGCCGUUGGAGGGCCAGACCCAGCGCUGCGGCUCCUCGUGGUUCCGACUGGCAGGUGCGGAGUGACUGGAAGCUCCGGCCAGCUGAGAGG